This 594-nucleotide ribosomal RNA is filed under the name uncultured bacterium. RNAcentral's name for it is "bacterial SSU rRNA". It matches the Rfam family "Bacterial small subunit ribosomal RNA", at positions 338 to 961 of the family's 1533-position model. The record is from RNAcentral.
CCUACGGGAGGCAGCAGUGGGGAAUCUUGCGCAAUGGGCGAAAGCCUGACGCAGCAACGCCGCGUGCGGGAAGAAGGCUUUCGGGCUGUAAACCGCUUUCAGCAGGAACGAAAAUGACGGUACCUGCAGAAGAAGGAGCGGCCAACUAUGUGCCAGCAGCCGCGGUGAUACAUAGGCUUCAAGCGUUGUCCGGAUUUAUUGGGCGUAAAGAGUUCGUAGGCGGUCGAGUAAGUCGGGUGUGAAAAUUCUGGGCUCAACCCAGAGACGCCACCCGAUACUGCUUGACUUGAGUUCGAUAGGGGAGUGGGGAAUUCCUAGUGUAGCGGUGAAAUGCGCAGAUAUUAGGAGGAACACCGGUGGCGAAGGCGCCACUCUGGAUCGAUACUGACGCUGAGGAACGAAAGCAUGGGUAGCAAACAGGAUUAGAUACCCUGGUAGUCCAUGCCGUAAACGGUGGGCACUAGGUGUGGGUUUCUAUUAACGAAAUCCGCGCCGUCGCUAACGCAUUAAGUGCCCCGCCUGGGGAGUACGGUCGCAAGCUAAAACUCAAAUGAAUUGACGGCNGAGACGUGCGACGACGACGACGAGGAGAGG